AGCUUUCUGAAUCCGCGCAGAGAUUUCGUCAGACACCAAUUCAUUAGGGCUGACCAGACUUCCAAGGUAAGUGAAGUU
MicroRNA precursor from Schistosoma mansoni, 78 nucleotides. It matches the Rfam family "mir-3492 microRNA precursor family". The record is from Rfam. Lineage: Eukaryota; Metazoa; Platyhelminthes; Trematoda; Strigeidida; Schistosomatidae.